UACGAAGGGGGCUAGCGUUGUUCGGAAUCACUGGGCGUAAAGGGCGCGUAGGCGGUGUGUCAAGUCAGGCGUGAAAGCCCCGGGCUCAACCUGGGAACCGCGCUUGAGACUGGCACGCUCGAGUUCGGGAGAGGAUGGUGGAAUUCCCAGUGUAGAGGUGAAAUUCGUAGAUAUCAGGAGGAACACCGGUGGCGAAGGCGGCUUUCUGGACACUUACUGACGCUGAGACGCGAAAGCGUGGGGAGCAAACAGG
This 253-nucleotide ribosomal RNA is filed under the name uncultured bacterium. RNAcentral describes it as "partial 16S ribosomal RNA". It matches the Rfam family "Bacterial small subunit ribosomal RNA", at positions 524 to 776 of the family's 1533-position model. The record is from RNAcentral.